RNAcentral lists this ribosomal RNA (249 nucleotides) under uncultured Cellulomonas sp. RNAcentral's name for it is "partial 16S ribosomal RNA". It matches the Rfam family "Bacterial small subunit ribosomal RNA", at positions 1137 to 1382 of the family's 1533-position model. Lineage: Bacteria; Bacillati; Actinomycetota; Actinomycetes; Micrococcales; Cellulomonadaceae. The record is from RNAcentral.
ACUCAUGGGAGACUGCCGGGGGUCAACUCGGAGGAAGGUGGGGGAUGACGUCAAAUCAUCAUGCCCCUUAUGUCUUGGGCUUCACGCAUGCGUACAAUGGCCGGUACAAAGGGCUGCGAUACCGCGAGGUGGAGCGAAUCCCAGAAAGCCGGUCUCAGUUCGGAUUGGGGUCUGCAACCCGACCCCAUGAAGUCGGAGUCGCUAGUAAUGGCAGGUCAGCAUACUGCCGUGAAUACGUUCCCGGGCCUU